This 491-nucleotide ribosomal RNA is filed under the name uncultured bacterium. Its description in RNAcentral is "partial 16S ribosomal RNA". It matches the Rfam family "Bacterial small subunit ribosomal RNA", at positions 29 to 506 of the family's 1533-position model. The record is from RNAcentral.
AGUGAACGCUGGCGGUAGGCCUAACACAUGCAAGUCGAACGGCAGCACAGUAAGAGCUUGCUCUUACGGGUGGCGAGUGGCGGACGGGUGAGGAAUACAUCGGAAUCUACUUUUUCGUGGGGGAUAACGUAGGGAAACUUACGCUAAUACCGCAUACGACCUACGGGUGAAAGCAGGGGAUCUUCGGACCUUGCGCGAUUGAAUGAGCCGAUGUCGGAUUAGCUAGUUGGCGGGGUAAAGGCCCACCAAGGCGACGAUCCGUAGCUGGUCUGAGAGGAUGAUCCGCCACACUGGAACUGAGAGACGGUCCAGACUCCUACGGGAGGCAGCAGUGGGGAAGAUUGGAAAAUGGGCGCAAGCCUGAUCCAGCCAUACCGGGUGGGUGAAGAAGGCCUUCGGGUUGUAAAGCCCUUUUGUUGGGAAAGAAAAGCAGCAGGUUAAUACCCCGCUGUGCUGACGGUACCCAAAGAAUAAGCACCGGCUAACUUCGU